This 1604-nucleotide long non-coding RNA is filed under the name Homo sapiens (human). RNAcentral's name for it is "HSALNT0339187". Lineage: Eukaryota; Metazoa; Chordata; Mammalia; Primates; Hominidae. The record is from RNAcentral.
UGUAAUUGAGACUACUGGAAAUAGAUUUACAAUCAAGGUAUGUAAAAACAGUAAAAUGUGUGUGUGUGUGUUUGUAAAAGGUUAUAAGAAGGCAUGGGAAUACUUUGGCCUAGGAUUAAAGGAUUGUUUUAAUUUAAAUUAGGAAAAGCUGAAAGUUCAAACAAGUGGAGGAAGCAUUGCGGAAAUUAAUCUUGCAGAAGAGGUUCUUUGUGUGAACAUAUUGACCAAAUUCAAAAAAGGGCUUUUGAUAACUUCAGAGAUGAUAACAUUGGAAUAAAGGAAAAUGUACAGGACUCAUGAAGAGCUGAAAUGUUCACAAAUAAGUCAAGGAAACUUAUUUUUAAGUAUUUAUGGCCUUAAAUAAUUAAGUAAAGUAUAUGCUCUCAUAAUCAAGAUUUGAAGCACGUUUGUUUCUCUCUGCCUGGUUCCUCUAGGAUUUGGACCCUACCUAAAAUCCAGGAAAGAAAUAUAAAACCACCGAUGGUCAUCAGACCUGUAAUGUGACUCUGAAACAAAACGCUGUAACAGUUUAUGUGCAAGUGGAGAAAUACACAGCUCAAAUCUGGAGAGCCAGCUCUGGAGGCCAUGCCAGAAUGAAAUAUCAAGCAGAAACUGAAUGGAGAAGAGAAAAAUGCAGCCCUGUCUGAGCAAGAGGGGAAUGCAGAUAAAUGCCACUCUCAGAGAGAAAGCAAAGGGGGAGAUAUGGACACCAUGUCUGAGACCUGGAGGAAUUGAAAUGAAGGUUAAAGAGGCUUUGAAAGAGACCAGAGCUAUCAGCCUGGGGAAAGCUUUGCUUCAGGAAAGUUAGUGGAAGCACAAAGCAUGUCAAGAAUUAAAACUAUCUCCAAAAUAAUUAUUCAGACAAUGGAUGCUAAAACCAAUGAGUUAAUAGGACAGUUAUACAAUCUCAAAGUGUCUCCCCAUAAGUUACAUAUUAAUUAGAAAGGAAAAAGUGCCUUUACAGUGGAGUGAUCUGAUAGCCACCACAGUAACCAAGUAAUCAACAUUUUCAUGACAAAUAAUGGGACACAAUUAGUGUGACAUGAUACUCUGGGAAGAUAUCACUUUUUUGGUAUUCCUGCCAAAAAUAGCUGACUUGAAUCUAAUCUUGGGAAAAUAAUUAAUAGUUACAAACUGAGGAACAUUCUCCAAAACAUUUGGCCUGUUCUCCUAAAAAAGAAAGUCAGCUUAAGAAAGACAAAGAAACUGUGCAUGAUUAAAGAAAACUUAAAAGGCAUAAAAUAAAUGCAGUUCAUGAUCCUGGACUGUAUUGUGGAUCAGAAAAAAAAAUCGUACAAAUUGUGAAUGGAGGCAUUGUAAAAAUUUUAAUAUGAAUUACAUCAAAUAAUAUGUUAUUAAACUUAAACUUGAAUUUAAUAAUUGUACAAAAUUAGGGAAUAUGAUUUCUUUGUUCUAAGUUUGAGAGAUGUGAGGUUACAAUGCCCACUAAUUAUUUCAGCUGGCUCAUAAAAAUUAUAAUAGUAUUAACAAUUUGUAAAUUUAGGUAAAAGUGUAUGCCGUUUCAAUGUUUUAGUCUUAUAAAUUUUUGGAUGGAAUAUUUUUAAAAAUUAAAGUUAAGCUAAGCACAGUGGCUCACGCCUGUA